Molecule: ribosomal RNA, 495 nt
Filed under: uncultured bacterium
Lineage: Bacteria
Description: partial 16S ribosomal RNA
Rfam family: Bacterial small subunit ribosomal RNA
Source: RNAcentral
GACGAACGCUGGCGGCGUGCCUAAUACAUGCAAGUAGAACGCUGAAGGAGGAGCUUGCUUCUCUGGAUGAGUUGCGAACGGGUGAGUAACGCGUAGGUAACCUGCCUGGUAGCGGGGGAUAACUAUUGGAAACGAUAGCUAAUACCGCAUAAGAGUAGAUGUUGCAUGACAUUUGCUUAAAAGGUGCAAUUGCAUCACUACCAGAUGGACCUGCGUUGUAUUAGCUAGUUGGUGGGGUAACGGCUCAUCAAGGCGACGAUACAUAGCCGACCUGAGAGGGUGAUCGGCCACACUGGGACUGAGACACGGCCCAGACUCCUACGGGAGGCAGCAGUAGGGAAUCUUCGGCAAUGGACGGAAGUCUGACCGAGCAACGCCGCGUGAGUGAAGAAGGUUUUCGGAUCGUAAAGCUCUGUUGUAAGAGAAGAACGAGUGUGAGAGUGGAAAGUUCACACUGUGACGGUAUCUUACCAGAAAGGGACGGCUAACUACGUG